RNAcentral lists this transfer RNA (71 nucleotides) under Esox lucius (northern pike). Its description in RNAcentral is "tRNA-Glu". Lineage: Eukaryota; Metazoa; Chordata; Actinopteri; Esociformes; Esocidae. The record is from RNAcentral.
CCACUCAUCUGCAGUCACGGCUGGUUCUGUUUUUCAAGUCAUUGGUUUUGGUUAGAGUCCGAGUAAGAAUU